AGUGAACGCUGGCGGCGUGCCUAACACAUGCAAGUCGAGCGCGAAAGGGUAGCAAUACCUGAGUAAAGCGGCGAACGGGUGAGUAACACGUGGUUAACCUACCGAGAUGUGGGGGAUACCCCGGAGAAAUUCGGGACAAUACCGCAUACAGUCUUCUGGACGUCGGUCUGGAAGAGCAAAGCCGGGGAUCGUAAGACCUGGCGCAUUUCGAGGGGACCGCGGCCGAUUAGCUAGUUGGCGGGGUAAGGCCCACCAAGGCUUCGAUCGGUAGCCGGCCUGAGAGGGUGAACGGCCACACCGGAACUGAGACACGGUCCGGACUCCUACGGGAGGCAGCAGUGGGGAAUUUUGCGCAAUGGGCGAAAGCCUGACGCAGCAACGCCGCGUGAGGAUGAAGGUUCUCUGAAUCGUAAACUCCUGUCGGCCGGGAAGAAUGGGCAGGGUGCUAAUCAGCCCUG
RNAcentral lists this ribosomal RNA (458 nucleotides) under uncultured bacterium. Its description in RNAcentral is "bacterial SSU rRNA". It matches the Rfam family "Bacterial small subunit ribosomal RNA", at positions 30 to 471 of the family's 1533-position model. The record is from RNAcentral.